Molecule: long non-coding RNA, 2091 nt
Organism: Drosophila biarmipes
Lineage: Eukaryota; Metazoa; Arthropoda; Insecta; Diptera; Drosophilidae
Exons: 6
Source: RefSeq, a predicted model, not a curated record
UUCGAACAAAUACAAAAACUAAAUGACAACAUCUCAUCAGAAAACCAAAAACAAAGUGCAGAUGGUAACUGGAGAGAAGCCGAUCAACUAGGGCUCACAAAUGCCAGACAACUACUAGACUGUAUUAUAAACAGCAAUGGGAUAAGGCGCUAGGACCAGAUGGCCCUACCAAUUUUCUUUUAAAGAAAUGUUUGUUAUGGAGGACAAUGAUUCUACGCAGAAGCUGCUUAAAUUAAAUUAAAUUAAAAAUAAAUUAAAGAAACUAAUGUGGACGAACGAUGUACACCAAAUCUACCUGGUUCGUUUGCUGCUACAUGGAUUUGCUCCCACGGUACUUAGUUCAUAUACACAGCUGAUAGCCCUGCGAACUGAAGACGAAGGUCAGGACGUCUAGCAACUCUACAGAGCUUGCGAGAGGAAGAAAAGAACUACGUUCUUCAGCGACCGGAACAACAUCGUCUGCUUUUACUUUCUGUCUAUUGUGACCCUUUUAUUUGUAAAGUUAAUUAAUGAUCAAGAGUGAAGUGUACACAUUAUAACCUAAUGAAUUAAAGGCUAAACUGUUAUCUCUGAACUUCAGUCGUUUACCUACUCCCAAGAGGGCCUCUUAAUAUGACAGCCGUACAUAGCAUUUUCGGCACGGCGUCUUGCUUGAAGUUGAAAAUCUCAGUUUAAUCUUACAAUUAGCACAGUCAUCAAUACCAACACACCCGGUCAGCUGACAGCGCUUCUACACACACACACGGGUGCUGCAAGAAGGCCCGAUAUAAUUCGCAACCAAGGAAAACCUCCUACUCAAAGCGAAAUCGGAAAACAGUACAGCCUGCGCUUACGCUAUAGUCAACGUUACGUAAAUUCAGGCAUAAGCAAAAGGGAAAGAUCACGUUUUGUUACGCCGUGUCGACGGUUGCCGACGCACGUGUCCACAUGCCACAACUGGAGAAGCCCGAUGAUAUUCGAUCUAUGAACAGUGCAGUCAACGUCUGCGCAGCCGCCUUAACGCGUCGCUGCAGGACGGGGAUCACUGGCUCGCGCAUUAUUUGACUGCAAAAUUACCGAAAGAAACGCACUCCGCCUGGGAACAUCAUCUCGGCAGUCAAAGAUCUCGAACAGUUUCUCAACAACCGGUUAAUCACCCUGGACGCCAUUGAAAAGUUGCACCAGCAAAUCUGGAUCAUCACUGUAUCAUCACACCACACAACGUAUCUCAGUUCAUAACACCAACGCGCAACCAAGCCCCCCUGUGCUUCGUUGUCCACACUGCAAUGGUAAUCAUAUCCUUCGUCGAUGUCCCCGAUUCCUAAGCUUGAAUUGCUAGCAACGUAAGGAGGUUGUGACUUCCCAUGCAACGCGACAGAAUAUCCUGUUGGCUACCGCACGGAUUAUUGUCUGCCACCACAGAGCGGCGCUCAAGCAUCAAUAAAUCCCCUCAUCGGGGGUCGGAAGCUACAAUAAUCUCAGAGCAUACCGUCCAAGCUCUUCAACUUCCACGAUGCGAAAUCCACGCUUCGAUCGCCGGCGUUGGCCAAACUACUGGACAACGGUGCAACUUUACGGCAAGAUGCUGCAUCCGAACUUCGCCAAACCCAACGUUUAAUCUAGAGGUCGACUCUGCGUACGUUCUGCACUCGCUAACCUCACCUCUACCAAACCAAUCGUUCUCGACUCCAAAUUGGAAAUACAUCAACGGACUCCAGCUCUCGGAUCCUCUAAACUAUAGCUCGAAGCGCUAGAUCUCAUCAUCGAAGCCGACCUCAUUGCGAGUCUUAUCCUUCCGGAAACCCGAAUCGGAAAUCCAGACGAACCUAUUGCACGAAAUUCUCACCUAAGUUGGAUGAUACUCGGCAAGUUCCAGGAUUCAAUCCACAUACUCGUACUUGUCCUUUGUCACCUAACUAAACUAUUUACCCAGUGUCACAAUAUUGGAUACUUUUCCACUAGCUGGGAGUGUGGUCGGGUAAUACCAAUACCCAAAAACAAAGCAAAGCCUGAAAGUCUCCAAGCUUAUAGACCAAUAACCAUCCACUCGGCUAUAACCCAGCUCUUUGAGAAGAUGUUGUUUUUCCAAAUAAAAAAACAUAUUGACGCAAA